Molecule: long non-coding RNA, 679 nt
Filed under: Mytilus galloprovincialis (Mediterranean mussel)
Lineage: Eukaryota; Metazoa; Mollusca; Bivalvia; Mytilida; Mytilidae
Source: RNAcentral
CGGUGUUAAUAUUCACGAGUACAGCAAUUUCCGUAUAGAUAAUUAAAGGCAAAUGUGUGAUCCUUGAUUUUUGUGUUCGUAAAAAGGCGAAGAAAUAUUUACAUACGUGGCAGUGUUAACAAAAUCUACAAGUAUAAAUACAUAUUGGUCAAUCAAUUUUUCCCAAAUUAAGUUUAGAGAGGGGGUGUGGGGGUCAGUGAAAAAACUAUGCGAAUUAAGUUUCUUAUCCUUCAUUGAACUUUUGAUGUCGUCCCUUAAACGGGCUCGGACAUUUACCAAAAUAAAUAAAAUCAUUACAGCUGAUUUCCUAAUGCUUGCAAAGUAAAACUUUGGUUGGCUUGCUUGCUUUGUGUGUAUAGUUGUUUAUACAAGCUUUGAAAAUAAGAUUGGCAUCUUUAAACAAUAUAUGCAUGCAUAGUUUAACUUGUAUAUUUUAUAUUUGAAUUUAAUUCUUCUCCUUUUAUAUAUUAUAUUGGGCCGGUUAUAUUUUUUUCUGUUUUUUUUUUUGUUUGGAUUGUUUUACACAAGUUAUUUUGGGGUUAUUUAUAGCGUACUUUUCGGCACUGAACCUAUGACUGCUUACUUUACUAGAUUGUGUCUUUUUUGGAAAGAUGUCUCAUUUGGAACUCAUACCGCAUCUUCUCAUUUCUAUAUACAAAGCACGUUUUAGAAUAAAAAU